UGGACUUUGAGAUUUUUGUAAAUCGGCUGUUUCAAAAGUCAAAAAUGAACAUUUGUGCUUAACAGUAAACCUCUUGGCUGUCUGGCAGCUUUGUACUAAUGCACUAUAGAGGAGCCAAUUAGUUCUGUAAAACCAGAGGUGUGCCUAAUUAAAAUGUAAUUCCAGCCUAAUAGCUUUGUUUUGCUUCCAAAUAAUGUAAUUUGAUGGAAAUUGUGUUUUGGCCCACAUAGAACAUAAAAUGUUUUCCCACCAUGAGAGAGAGUGAGAGUUGAAUAUUUUACAAGUAUAGAUACAUUGUGCUUUUUGUUCCUUUUUUCUCUUUAGUAUUUUGUAUUGAAGGAGAACAGCCCCGAUCUUGUUGAGAACUGAAACAUCCAUGGUCAGAGCAUAGGAGCUCCUUAGCCCCGGAGGUUUGUGCCUGAAACAUAGGCCUAUUUCAGUGAUCAUGAUAUCAUCAUAUGUUGUCUGGGUGAUUGGCCGCCCUGUCACUCUGAGGUCCCUGUGGUCGCUGAUCUUGCCCAAGGCUCUCCUGUGUUCUGGGUGGAAUGAACUCUCAACUGAAAACAAGACAGUCACUGCCCAUCACUUGCCACAGGCUGAAAACCUUUCACACUACCCUUUUUCAGACACACCAACACGCCAUGCUAGAGAGAAGAAAUACUUUUUUACAUCACAAAAAAGAUAA
This 685-nucleotide long non-coding RNA is filed under the name Dicentrarchus labrax (European seabass). RNAcentral describes it as "lncRNA (ENSDLAG00005033406.1)". The record is from RNAcentral. Lineage: Eukaryota; Metazoa; Chordata; Actinopteri; Moronidae.